UGGGCUUCACGGGCGCAUCCUCGAUUCUUUAAAGGCUAGCUAUGCUGACGUGAAGUUUCGGGUCAAGUUAGGAAAUAAGUUGGGACCUGAAUUCAAGGUGGGGCGUGGUGUUAAGCAAGGGUGUCCCCUUAGCGUAACCCUUUUUGGGCUCUUCAUAGAAGUAUUCGCUCAUUAUAUUGAUGCCCAUGAUGCUAAUUGCCGUGUAUGCCUCCCCAGCCGAUGGAGCACCCUUCGUUAGCAGAGUGUUAGCCUGGCG
Molecule: long non-coding RNA, 256 nt
Filed under: Volvox carteri
Lineage: Eukaryota; Viridiplantae; Chlorophyta; Chlorophyceae; Chlamydomonadales; Volvocaceae
Description: long non-coding RNA (VCAR_LNC000390)
Source: RNAcentral